AAAGAUUAAGCCAUGCAUGUCUAAGUACAUGUGUAUUUAACACGAAACCGCGUAUGGCUCAUUAUAACAGCUAAAAUUUACUUGAUUUUGACUUUUAUCCUACAUGGAUAACUGCGGUAAUUCUGGAGCUAAUACAUGCAUAAAAGAUGAAACAUUUAUCUGUUUCAUUGCGUAUAUUAGUAUUAAAACCAAGCAUUCUUCGGAAUGUUUUGUGUUGAAACUGAAUAUAUCAUGCUGAUCGUAUGGUCUUGUACCGACGACAUGUCAUUCAAGUGUCUGAUCUAUCAACUUUCUAUAUAAGUAUAUAGUACUUAUAUGGUUUUGACGGAUAACGGGGUAUUAGGGUACGACUCCGGAGAAAAUGCCUGAGAAACGGCGUUUACAUCCAAGGAAGGCAGCAGGCGCGAAAAUUACCCACUCUCAGUACGAGGAGGUAGUGACGAGAAAUGACAAGAUCUAUUCCUUCGGGGAUGGAUCAUUGGAAUGGUUUGAUUUUAAAAUCAUUAAAGAGUAUCAAUGAGAGGGCAAGUCUGGUGCCAGCAGCCGCGGUAAUUCCAGCUCUCAUACUGCAUUGAAUUGUUGUUGCGGUUAAAAAGCUCGUAGUUGGAUCUGUACAUGAUAGGUUAGUUUAUUCUUUACGGAAUAUAACUAAUACUAAAUGUUUUUUGUUAGAUUUAUUUAUGUCCGUAAGGAUAUAAAUUGUCUAACGAGUUUACUUUGAAUAAAUCAGAGUGCUCAAAACAGGCGUAAGCUUGUAUGGUUUUGCAUGGAAUAAUAGUACAUGACUAUGGUUCAUGUUUUAUUGGUUUUACUUACCAUAGUAAUGAUUAAAAGGAACAAACGGGGGCAUCCGUAUCGCAGGGCGAGAGGUGAAAUUCGUGGACCCUUGCGAGACGAACUACAGCGAAAGCAUUUGCCAAGAAUG
This 925-nucleotide ribosomal RNA is filed under the name Eucephalobus striatus. Its description in RNAcentral is "SSU rRNA". It matches the Rfam family "Eukaryotic small subunit ribosomal RNA", at positions 39 to 966 of the family's 1831-position model. The record is from RNAcentral. RNAcentral also lists the same sequence under 1 other name. Lineage: Eukaryota; Metazoa; Nematoda; Chromadorea; Rhabditida; Cephalobidae.